This 500-nucleotide ribosomal RNA is filed under the name uncultured bacterium. RNAcentral describes it as "bacterial SSU rRNA". It matches the Rfam family "Bacterial small subunit ribosomal RNA", at positions 36 to 518 of the family's 1533-position model. The record is from RNAcentral.
CUGGCGGCGUGCCUAACACAUGCAAGUCGAACGAAGCAUCUUGCCCGACAAAGAGGAGUGCUUGCACAACUUGGAGUCAACUGAGAUGACUUAGUGGCGGACGGGUGAGUAACGCGUGGGUAACCUGCCGUAUGCAGGGGGAUAACAGUUAGAAAUGACUGCUAAUACCGCAUAAGCGCACAGCAUCGCAUGGUGCAGUGUGAAAAGCCUUAACGGCAUACGAUGGACCCGCGUCUGAUUAGCCAGUUGGCAGGGUAACGGCCUACCAAAGCGACGAUCAGUAGCCGGCCUGAGAGGGUGAACGGCCACAUUGGGACUGAGACACGGCCCAAACUCCUACGGGAGGCAGCAGUGGGGGAUAUUGCACAAUGGGGGAAACCCUGAUGCAGCGAACCGCCGCGUGAGUGAUGAAGUAUUUCGGUAUGUAAAGCUCUAUCAGCAGGGAAGAAAAUGACGGUACCUGACUAAGAAGCUCCGGCUAAAUACGUGCCAGCAGCCGC